RNAcentral lists this unclassified non-coding RNA (1414 nucleotides) under uncultured Neocallimastigales. RNAcentral describes it as "partial contains small subunit ribosomal RNA, internal transcribed spacer 1, 5.8S ribosomal RNA, internal transcribed spacer 2, and large subunit ribosomal RNA". The stretch from base 657 to 1414 matches the Rfam family "Eukaryotic large subunit ribosomal RNA", at positions 1 to 617 of the family's 3401-position model. Lineage: Eukaryota; Fungi; Neocallimastigomycota; Neocallimastigomycetes; Neocallimastigales. The record is from RNAcentral.
UUUCCGUAGGUGAACCUGCGGAAGGAUCAUUAAAAAAUUGGACUCCAUUGGUGAGUUCAUUAAUAAUCCUACCCUUUGUGAAUUUGUUUGUUUGAAUAAUUUUUUUUCCAAAAAAAAUUAUUGAAUGUCUUUCCCUGUUUUGGUGGAGCUUGUAAAGUGAAACCAGGCAGGGGAAUGGCAAACAAUAAUUAUUUUUGAAAAAGACCUUUUUUAAAAUUAAACUUUUUGUAUUCAUUUGUCUAAAAUUAUUUUUAUAAUAUAAAAACAACUUUUGACAAUGGAUCUCUUGGUUCUCGCAACGAUGAAGAACGCAGCAAAAUGCGAUAAGUAGUGUGAAUUGCAGAAUACGUGAAUCAUCGAAUCUUCGAACGCAUAUUGCACUUUUUUAGUUUACUAAAAAAGUAUGUCUGUUUGAGUAUCAGUAAAAUAUUCUCAUAAAAAAUUUAUUUUUUAUGGUUAUGAGUGUUUUACAACGAUAACAAGUUGUUUCACUUUAAAUUCUUUGUUAUCAAAAAAAUCAUUAAAAGCUAAUUUUAAAGAUUUUUUAAAAUUGGAUAAAAUUUUCCCGUAAAAAGGAAUAACCUAAACAAUUUCAAAAAAUUAAAAUUGGUUUGAUUUUUCUUGAUUUAAAAAGGAAAAAAAAGUAAAAAUUAACUUGAUCUCAAAUCAGAUAAGAGUACCCGCUGAACUUAAGCAUAUCAAUAAGCGGAGGAAAAGAAACUAACUAGGAUUCCCUCAGUAACGGCGAGUGAAGCGGGAAGAGCUCAAAUUUGAAAUCUUCAAGGUUUUACCUUGACGAAUUGUAGUUUAAAGAAGUGUUUUCUGUUGGAGUUUUGGUAAAAGUUCUUUGGAAAAGGACAUCAUAGAGGGUGAGAAUCCCGUAUUUGACCAUUAUCUCCAGCUUUGUGAUACACUUUCAAAGAGUCGGAUUGUUUGGGAAUGCAGUCCAAAAUGGGUGGUAAAUUUCAUCUAAAGCUAAAUACUGGCGAGAGACCGAUAGCGAACAAGUACCGUGAGGGAAAGAUGAAAAGAACUUUGAAAAGAGAGUUAAACAGUACGUGAAAUUGUCAAAAGGGAAGCGUUUGACACCAGUGUUGUUUUCUCGAAAAUCAAUUAAAAAAGGCCGGAUUUUGUGUUGUAUUGACUUUAUCAGCUUUCUGCACUUUUUUCUUGUCUUUUUUAAUGCACUUUUCGUUUAACAAGUCAACAUCAAUUUCUUUUGUUGUAAAAGGGUCAUUGGAAGGUGGCUUUCUUUUCGGAGAAAGUGUUUAUAGCCUUUGGCCUCUGCAAUCGGAGAGAUUGAGGUCUGCAGCGUAGAUCCUUCGGGGUUAGAUACAUUUGUGCUAAGUUAUAGCCUUUCAUAGACAACUUGUUGACUAUGAUCAGUCAUGUAGCUUACUCGCUUAUGCUAUUU